Molecule: ribosomal RNA, 234 nt
Filed under: uncultured bacterium
Lineage: Bacteria
Description: partial 16S ribosomal RNA
Rfam family: Bacterial small subunit ribosomal RNA
Source: RNAcentral
UGGCGGACGGGUGAGUAAUGUCUGGGAAACUGCCUGAUGGAGGGGGAUAACUACUGGAAACGGUAGCUAAUACCGCAUAACGUCGCAAGACCAAAGAGGGGGACCUCGGGCCUCUUGCCAUCGGAUGUGCCCAGAUGGGAUUAGCUAGUAGGUGGGGUAACGGCUCACCUAGGCGACGAUCCCUAGCUGGUCUGAGAGGAUGACCAGCCACACUGGAACUGAGACACGGUCCAG